AGAGUGAACGCUGGCGGUAGGCCUAACACAUGCAAGUCGAACGGCAGCACAGUGGUAGCAAUACCAUGGGUGGCGAGUGGCGGACGGGUGAGGAAUACAUCGGAAUCUACCUUUUGGUGGGGGAUAACGUAGGGAAACUUACGCUAAUACCGCAUACGCCCUUCGGGGGAAAGCCGGGGACCUUCGGGCCUGGCGCUGAUAGAUGAGCCGAUGUCGGAUUAGCUAGUUGGUGAGGUAAUGGCUCACAAGGCGACGAUCCGUAGCUGGUCUGAGAGGAUGAUCGAGCCACACGUAGGAACUGGAGACC
RNAcentral lists this ribosomal RNA (307 nucleotides) under uncultured soil bacterium. Its description in RNAcentral is "bacterial SSU rRNA". It matches the Rfam family "Bacterial small subunit ribosomal RNA", at positions 26 to 328 of the family's 1533-position model. The record is from RNAcentral.